This is a long non-coding RNA of Saccostrea cuccullata (small rock oyster), 290 nucleotides long. RefSeq lists it as uncharacterized. NCBI's taxonomy places the organism in Eukaryota, Metazoa, Mollusca, Bivalvia, Ostreida, Ostreidae. The record is from RefSeq and is a predicted model, not a curated record. The transcript has 2 exons.
GCACUUUUGGGUUAACAAUGAUUGUAUUUAAAAUUAAGGUGUAACAAGUAAAUAUCAUAAUUGAUCUCUUGGUAAAUAUACCAACUUCUGGGUGAACAUCAUAAAUCUGUACAUCAACAGUGUAUUCUGUUAUAACCAAACAGAAGAAAGUGCCAUUUAUGUUUAAUUGUUAUCAAUUUAAUUUAAUCACAAUACUUCUGAAAACAAAAUUCAGAUAAUUCUUAAAAAGAAAAAAAAACUGUAACUAAAUGUUAACAAACAACAUUUAUUACAGUUAAAACAAGUUAAUU